CCAAAUCUUACUCUUCUUCAGUUCUUCCACAAACAAACAAAGAAACAAACUAGGGUUUUAGGGUUUUAUUACACUCUUCAAAAAAGGCUUCAAUGGCGGAAUCGAUUUGCAGAGCACUCCGAGACGGUGCGUUGCAAGGAGAACACGCACCGGCUCUAACCAUCAAGGACUCCAUUGCCUCACCUUUCGGUUUCCACGUCUUCACUCACCUUCUCACCCAGCUUUCCUCCAACAUUUUGGCGGCAAAAUCCCAAUCACGUGGUCUCGUGCUUGUCGCUCUCUCUCGAAGCCCGUCGUUUUACUUGGAUUUGUUGAAUAGAAUAGGCAUUGAUGUCGCUUCGUCCCAAAAAUGGAUUGAGAUUUUGGAUUGUUAUACGGAUCCUCUUGGUUGGAAGGAUGCCCUUUUGGCGUCUGGAAAUGGUGGGAGUCUCUCUAACGAAGCUUCGACUGGAGCUAGUUUGUGUAGGAAUGUGAAGGAUAUGGACAAGUUGUACUCUUCAAUUAUCGAGCUGGGGAAAGGAAUAGUUGAACAAGGCAAAGUUCGUUUUUGUGUUGCCAUAGACUCGGUUAAUGAAAUCUUAAGACAUGCAUCUAUAUCAUCAGUUGCAGGCCUUUUAAGUAACCUUCGAAGCAAUGAUAGAGUUUCGAGCAUCUUUUGGUUGUCACAUUCAGACCUUCAUGAAGACAGGGUUACUGCCGUUCUUGAGUAUAUGUCCUCGAUGGUGGCCAGUAUAGAACCGCUAAAUCAAUCUGCAAAUGGGCAUAGAUGUAAUUGGGAGAGCCUCCCUUUACUCGAACGUAAUUAUUGGAAAGGGAAGUUUCAUGUCCGGUUUAAGCGCAGAAAUGGUCGUGUUCGAGUGAUGUCUGAAGAAUUUCAUGUUGAGCAAUCAGCCAUCAACUUUAGAUCCAUUUCAUCCGAAGAUGAAAUAGUCAAUCGAAGCCUUUUGCCAAAGAUGCAAUUCAAUUUACAGCUGUCAGAGAAGGAGCAAAUUGAUAGGGCUAAGGUUGUACUUCCUUUUGAACACCAGGGAACUGGUAAACCCAUUCAAAUUUAUGAUGGUCGGAGAUCACUUACGGAUGGCAAUAGUGAAGCGGAACCUGUUUCUACUGGAAUAUUGCAGACAAAUGAGAACUCUAGCAAGGGUGAGAUAAUAUAUUUGCGUGAUUCAGAUGAUGAGAGACCAGAUUCUGAUGAGGACCCAGAUGAUGAUUUGGAUAUAUAAUUGUGUGUGCCUCAUUCGUGAUCUUGGACUGCCAGAGUACUGCAUUUAUGCUCUGUACCAACUUAACCUUUUUGCAUUUUGAGUCAGUGGUAAUUCUCUCCGACAAGUAUUUACUCUCUCGUCUAGUCUGAGUUGUUAUUAAUUUGUCAGUUGAUGCUUAUGGCUGCCAGAUUGGGUGGACAAGGCAAAGACCGGGUGCUAGAUAUGCUCAAUGAAACCCUGCUGCCUUGAGUGGAGGAUGUCCUAGUUCACCUAGACUUUCGAGGAUGUGAUAAUAGCGGUCUAAAAUAUGUGUGGAAGAGAAGCUAUGCUUUGGUGAAGAUAUGUGAUGAACGUUACUCAGAGGGGAUUCGUAUGCAACUGUUGUGUGAUUCGUUUCAAGUCUAUUCAUGAGUCAUGAUCAUGAAAUGAAAUUAUAAUCAGGGGAUUGUAUUUACAUUUUGUUAUUUGGAGCUUGUUAUGAAAAUCUAUCUGGUUGUUAUACUC
RNA transcript from Quercus robur (English oak), 1709 nucleotides. It is a transcript of the gene named elongator complex protein 5, with no coding region annotated. The record is from RefSeq and is a predicted model, not a curated record. The transcript is spliced from 11 exons. Lineage: Eukaryota; Viridiplantae; Streptophyta; Magnoliopsida; Fagales; Fagaceae.